AAUAUUGGACAAUGGGGGCAACCCUGAUCCAGCCAUGCCGCGUGUGUGAAGAAGGUCUUCGGAUAGAAAAGCACUUUAAUUUGGGAGGAAGGGAGUCAAGCUAAUACCUUGAUGUUUUGACGUUACCAACAGAAUAAGCACUGGAUAACUCGGUGCCAGCCACCGCGGUAAUACAGAGGUGGCUAGAGUUGAUUGUAAUUACUGGGCGUAAAGCGCGCGUAGUUGGUUCAGUAAUAAGGGUGUUAAAUCCCCGGGCUGAACCUGGGCACUGCUUUCAUAACUGCUGAGCUAGAGUACGGUAGAGGGUAGUGGAAUUUCCUGUGUAGCGGUGAAAUGCGUAGAUAUAGGAAGGAACACCAGUGGCGAAGGCGACUACCUGGACUGAUACUGACACUGAGGUGCGAAAGCGUGGGGAGCAAACAG
This 423-nucleotide ribosomal RNA is filed under the name uncultured bacterium. RNAcentral describes it as "partial 16S ribosomal RNA". It matches the Rfam family "Bacterial small subunit ribosomal RNA", at positions 360 to 775 of the family's 1533-position model. The record is from RNAcentral.